GAGUUUGAUCUUGGCUCAGAUUGAACGCUGGCGGCAUGCCUUACACAUGCAAGUCGAACGGCAGCACGGGAGCUUGCUCCUGGCGGCGAGUGGCGAACGGGUGAGUAAUGCAUCGGAACGUAUCCUGGAGUGGGGGAUAACGUAGCGAAAGUUACGCUAAUACCGCAUAUUCUGUGAGCAGGAAAGCGGGGGACCUUCGGGCCUCGCGCUCUUGGAGCGGCCGAUGUCGGAUUAGCUAGUUGGUGAGGUAAAGGCUCACCAAGGCGACGAUCCGUAGCAGGUCUGAGAGGAUGAUCUGCCACACUGGAACUGAGACACGGUCCAGACUCCUACGGGAGGCAGCAGUGGGGAAUUUUGGACAAUGGGGGCAACCCUGAUCCAGCCAUGCCGCGUGAGUGAAGAAGGCCUCGG
Molecule: ribosomal RNA, 411 nt
Filed under: bacterium enrichment culture clone ALO1_GLFRUDD03F4SU4
Lineage: Bacteria
Description: bacterial SSU rRNA
Rfam family: Bacterial small subunit ribosomal RNA
Source: RNAcentral